RNAcentral lists this long non-coding RNA (1795 nucleotides) under Homo sapiens (human). RNAcentral describes it as "HSALNT0287691". The record is from RNAcentral. Lineage: Eukaryota; Metazoa; Chordata; Mammalia; Primates; Hominidae.
CCGACUAGGACGAGACAAGAGGGACAGGGAGGCUUCGCGGAACCCUACGCCCACCCGACGCGUUCGCCCGUCCGUUUUUAUUUUUAUUUUUAUUUUGGUUUUUUUGUUGUUGUUCUCUUCUUUUGUCUUUUUUUUUUCUUUAGAGACGGGGUCUAGCUAUGUUGGCCAGGCUGGUCUCGAGUCCCCGGGCUCAAGCGAUCCUCCCGCCUCAGCCUCCGGAAAAGUGGGACUACAGGCGCGCAUCGCCGCACCCGGCCAAUCCCUGUUUUAAUCCUUUUCCUUAAAAUUGCAAAAGUGGUGUCUUUUUCCUGCAGAUGGACCCUCCCUGAUACAGGUGAGAGGAGACUGUAAUCCCUUAGAACGAGGAGUGAAGCGGGCUCAGGAUAGCAUCUAGGGGAACACCCAGCACUUACAUUGGGCAGGAGGAGAAGGGUCCAGAAAAGAGAUCGGACAAGGAGCAAUCAAAGAGGAAGGAGAAAACCCAGAGCGAAGCGUGGCAUCAAAGACACCCUAACGGGCCGGGCGCUGUGGCUCACGCCUGUAAUCCCAGCACUUUGGGAGCCCGAGGCGGGCGAAUCAUGAGGUCAAGAGAUCGAGACCAUCCUGCACAACAUGGUGAAACCCCAUCUCUACUGAAAAUACAAAAAUUAGCUGGGCAUGGUGGUGCACACCUGUAGUCCCAGUUACACGGGAGGCUGAGGCAGGAGAAUCACUUGAACCCGCGAGGCGGAGGUUGCAGUGGGCCGAGAUCGCGCCACUGCACUCCAUCCUGGGCGACAGAGUGAGAGUCCAUCUCAAAAAAAAAAAAAAAAAAAGAUUGUAGUCAUGAUUGUCACAUGUGAUUCAGACUAGGACUAGGAUAGUGGCAGUUGAGCUGGAGAGAGGAAGUGGGUCUGACAAUACAGUCAAAGAAGAUUGUAGCUUUUGGGUCUCUCUGAGUUGGGGACUGGGAGACGAGGUCACUUGGGGGCUCACUGAGUUUCGGGUGCUUAGGGAAACCCCCAAGUGGCCAUUUCCAGGCCUUAACUAGCUGAGGAGAGAGGUUUUCACUGGAGCUUCACUGUAUCCCAGGAGAAUCCAGCAAACUUAAAAAGGAAAGCAUGUCUAUUAUGUUUCUGUUACUUUUGUUACAUAGUUUCAAGGCAAAUACUUCCUCUGGAAUGCGGAAGGCAAUCUUGCCUCCGCCAGGACUCUGUUGCUGAGCUGCUUCCAUGCUUAGGGAAGAAACCCACCUGUGGCUGCUUUUAUUCUUCCCUGCAUUGCUAGGGGUCCCUGGAGUGAUGGCCCUGGAGGCUUCCUGAAGCACCUGCUAUGGGCCAGGCACCUGGACUCUGCCCCGGAAGUUGACAGUUUGGUCUAGAGGACAUGCAGGACAGCAGGUCAUGAUACAGGGUCAUGAAUAUUCCAAAGGUUGAGACAUGGGACUGGGAGGGAUGUAAGGAGAGGGGCACCGAUGAAGCUGCUCCCACCAGGAGGUGAUAUCUAAACUGAACCAAUCACCAAAUGUUGACAGCACCAAUGAGCACCUUCUGUCUGGGGACUUCAUCUUUAGGGAGGAGAAAAAGAGACAGACACAGGGAGGAGAGCACUGCACGCAGCUGAAGGCAGAGAUUGGAAUGACACCUCUGCAAGCCAAGGAACACGGAGCAUUGCUGGGAACCACCGGAAGAAGCCAGAAGACAGGCCUGGAGCUGGCUUUCCCUCACAGCCCCAGAAGGAACCCACCCUGGUGCCACCUUGAUUUCGGACUUCUGGCCUUCAGAACUGGGAGAGAAUAAAUUUCUGUUGCUUUAAA